CUAAGACUGGAUAGGAAGAAAUAAGGCAUCUUAUUUCUUUUAAAAGACCUAGUAAUAGGUAUACUUUAGGAGGGGCUUGCGCCAUAUUAGUUAGUUGGUAGGGUAAUGGCCUACCAAGACGAUGAUGUGUAGCUGGACUGAGAGGUUGAACAGCCACAUUGGGACUGAGACACGGCCCAAACUCCUACGGGAGGCAGCAGUAAGGAAUUUUCGGCAAUGGAGGAAACUCUGACCGAGCAACGCCGCGUGAACGACGAAGUACUUUGGUAUGUAAAGUUCCUUUAUCAAGGAAGAAAAGCAAGUGGCGAACCAUUUGUUUGCCGGUACUUGAUGAAUAAGCCCCGGCUAAUUAUGUGCCAGCAGCCGCGGUAAGACAUAAGGGGCAAGUGUUAUCCGGAAUUAUUGGGCGUAAAGGGUGCGUAGGCGGUCUAGUAAGUCAGUGGUGUAAUGGCAACGCUCAACGUUGUCCGGCUAUUGAAACUGCUAAACUUGAGUUAGAUAGAGGCGAGUGGAAUUCCAUGUGUAGCGGUAAAAUGCGUAAAUAUAUGGAGGAACACCAGAGGCGUAGGCGGCUCGCUGGGUCUUAACUGACGCUGAGGCACGAAAGCGUGGGGAGCAAACAGGAUUAGAUACCCUGGUAGUCCACGCCGUAAACGAUGAGUACUAAGUGUCGGGUUAAACCGGUACUGAAGUUAACACAUUAAGUACUCCGCCUGAGUAGUACGUACGCAAGUAUGAAACUUAAAGGAAUUGACGGGACUCCGCACAAGCGGUGGAUCAUGUUGUUUAAUUCGAAGAUACCCGAAAAACCUUACCAGGUCUUGACAUGUUUUUGCGAAACGGUAGUAAUAUCGUAGAGGUUAUCAGAAACACAGGUGGUGCAUGGUUGUCGUCAGCUCGUGUCGUGAGAUGUUAGGUUAAGUCCUAAAACGAGCGAAACCCUUAUCGUUAGUUGCCAGCACGUUAUGGUGGGGACUUUAACGAGACUGCCAGUGAUAAACUGGAGGAAGGUGAGGAUCACGUCAAAUCAGCAUGCCCCUUAUGACCUGGGCUACAAACGUGAUACAAUGGCUGUUACAAAGGGUAGCUGAAACGUAAGUUCUUGGCCAAUCCCCAAAAACAGUCUCAGUCCGGAUUGAAGUCUGCAACUCGACUUCAUGAAGUUGGAAUCGCUAGUAAUCGCGAAUCAGCAUGUCGCGGUGAAUACGUUCUCGGGGUUUGUACACACCGCCCGUCAAACCACGAAAGUUGGCAAUACCCCAAAAUGGUAGCCUAACUCGUUUAUUCGAGAGGGCGCUGUCUAAGGUAGGGUCGAUGAUUGGGGUUAAGUCGUAACA
RNAcentral lists this ribosomal RNA (1337 nucleotides) under Candidatus Phytoplasma citri. RNAcentral's name for it is "bacterial SSU rRNA". It matches the Rfam family "Bacterial small subunit ribosomal RNA", at positions 163 to 1493 of the family's 1533-position model. The record is from RNAcentral. Lineage: Bacteria; Bacillati; Mycoplasmatota; Mollicutes; Acholeplasmatales; Acholeplasmataceae.